This 72-nucleotide transfer RNA is filed under the name Dermacentor andersoni. Its description in RNAcentral is "transfer RNA proline (anticodon UGG)". It matches the Rfam family "tRNA". From Rfam's summary of the family: Transfer RNA (tRNA) molecules are approximately 80 nucleotides in length. Their secondary structure includes four short double-helical elements and three loops (D, anti-codon, and T loops). Lineage: Eukaryota; Metazoa; Arthropoda; Arachnida; Ixodida; Ixodidae. The record is from RNAcentral.
GGCUCGUUCGUCUAGGGGUAUGAUUCUCGCUUUGGGUGCGAGAGGUCCCAGGUUCAAAUCCCGGACGAGCCC